Molecule: ribosomal RNA, 426 nt
Filed under: Epinephelus miliaris (netfin grouper)
Lineage: Eukaryota; Metazoa; Chordata; Actinopteri; Perciformes; Serranidae
Description: partial 12S ribosomal RNA
Rfam family: Bacterial small subunit ribosomal RNA
Source: RNAcentral
UGGGAUUAGAUACCCCACUAUGCUUCGCCCUAAACAUUGAUAGUUUUAUACAACCACUAUCCGCCUGGAGACUACGAGCAACAGCUUAAAACCCAAAGGACUUGGCGGUGCUUUAGACCCACCUAGAGGAGCCUGUUCUAUAACCGAUAAUCCCCGUUUAACCUCACCUUUCCUAGUCAUUCCCGCCUAUAUACCGCCGUCGCCAGCUUACCCUGUGAAGGCCCCCUAGUAAGCAUAAUUGGUACAACCCAAAACGUCAGGUCGAGGUGUAGCGUAUGGAAAGGGAAGAAAUGGGCUACAUUCCCUAUUACAGCGAAUCACGGAUAAUAGUACUGAAACGUGUAUCUAGAAGGAGGAUUUAGCAGUAAGCGGAAAGCAGAGCGUCCCGCUGAAACCGGCCCUGAAGCGCGCACACACCGCCCGUCA